CCUACGGGAGGCAGCAGUGGGGAAUAUUGCACAAUGGGGGAAACCCUGAUGCAGCGACGCCGCGUGAGUGAGGAAGGAUUUCGGGAUGGAAAGCUCUAUCAGCAGGGAAGAAAAUGACGGUACCUGACUAAGAAGCCCCGGCUAACUACGUGCCAGCAGCCGCGGUAAUACGUCGGGGGCAAGCGUUAUCCGGAUUUACGGGGUGUAAAGGGAGCGUAGACGGCUAAUCAAGUCAGAAGGGAAAACCCAGGGCUCAACCUUGGGACUGCUUUUGAAACUGGGUAGCUAGAGUGCAGGAGAGGUAAGCGGAAUGCGUGGUGUAGCGGUGAAAUGCGUAGAUAUUAGGAGGAACACCGGUGGCGAAGGCGGCUUACUGGACUGUAACUGACGUUGAGGCUCGAAAGCGUGGGGAGCAAACAGGAUUAGAUACCCGAGUAGUC
RNAcentral lists this ribosomal RNA (440 nucleotides) under uncultured bacterium. RNAcentral's name for it is "partial 16S ribosomal RNA". It matches the Rfam family "Bacterial small subunit ribosomal RNA", at positions 338 to 795 of the family's 1533-position model. The record is from RNAcentral.